Molecule: transfer RNA, 59 nt
Filed under: Manacus vitellinus (golden-collared manakin)
Lineage: Eukaryota; Metazoa; Chordata; Aves; Passeriformes; Pipridae
Rfam family: tRNA
About the family: Transfer RNA (tRNA) molecules are approximately 80 nucleotides in length. Their secondary structure includes four short double-helical elements and three loops (D, anti-codon, and T loops). Further hydrogen bonds mediate the characteristic L-shaped molecular structure. tRNAs have two regions of fundamental functional importance: the anti-codon, which is responsible for specific mRNA codon recognition, and the 3' end, to which the tRNAs corresponding amino acid is attached (by aminoacyl-tRNA synthetases). tRNAs cope with the degeneracy of the genetic code in two manners: having more than one tRNA (with a specific anti-codon) for a particular amino acid; and 'wobble' base-pairing, i.e. permitting non-standard base-pairing at the 3rd anti-codon position.
Source: Rfam by way of RNAcentral
UAGCUCAGCUGGCUGGAGCAUGGUGCUAAAAACACCAAGUUCAUAGGUUCAAUCCCUGU